RNA transcript from Ricinus communis (castor bean), 1500 nucleotides. RefSeq lists it as uncharacterized. Lineage: Eukaryota; Viridiplantae; Streptophyta; Magnoliopsida; Malpighiales; Euphorbiaceae. The transcript has 3 exons. The record is from RefSeq and is a predicted model, not a curated record.
UAAAAACUUGAAAACUAUUCUGAGUGUCCGACGCCAAACUCAUUCACAAAUCACAUAAAUUUUACAAGCAGAGACUUCAAGAAAAACGAGAGAAGAAGAAGAUCAGGAAUAGUUAUAUAAAAAUUAGGGUCAGGGUCAUGGUCAUUAUUGUUAAUUAAUGCAAUUUAUUUAUUGUACAAAAGCAAGCAAUAGAAAAGAAACAAAGAAAGAGGAAAAAAAGGCAGGAGGUAUCCUUUUUGUUGUAGUUGAAUGGCACAUUGAAACAAGUCCACAUGCAUUCCUUGCGCGCGUAUAUAAUAUAGAUGCCAACACAUUAGGCAUCGAGCCAGAGCAAGCAUUUAUUAGGUAUAUUUCGGCACCCUUUCUUCUGUAUACAUAUUUACAAACGACAAACCAUUGCCUUUGCCUUUGCCUUUCAAUAUAUACAUUACAACCAUCCAUGGAGUGGAGGAAAUGUUAUAUGGAUGUGGUACUGGUGCCGCUUGGAUUUAUGAUAACAAUGGCCUAUCAUGCUUGGUUAUGGCAUAAGGUUCGCACCCAACCCCUCUCCACCAUCAUUGGUACUAACGCCACCGGCAGGCGUUUCUGGGUUUCUGCCAUGAUGAAGGACAAUGACAAGAAGAACAUCUUGGCCGUCCAAACACUUAGAAACCUAAUCAUGGGAUCAACCCUAAUGGCCACUACAUCAAUCCUUCUCUCCGCUGGGCUGGCAGCCAUAAUAAGUAGCACAUAUAGCGUGAAGAAGCCGCUAAACGAUGCCGUAUACGGGGCGCACGGUGAAUUCAUGGUGGCACUAAAAUAUGUAACGCUCUUGAGCAUAUUCCUCUUCUCAUUUUUUUGCCAUUCGCUUUCCAUAAGGUUUGUGAAUCAGGUAAACUUGCUCAUCAACACACCCCCUGAUCCAAUGUCUAUUGUGACUCCUGAUUAUGUUAGCGAGCUGUUAGAGAAGGGUUUUAUUCUAAACACAGUAGGGAACAGGCUCUUCUACGCAGCAAUGCCUCUUCUGCUUUGGAUAUUUGGACCGGUGCUAGUCUUCCUGUGCUGCGUUACAAUGGUGCCUGUGCUUUACAACCUAGACUUCGUAUUUGCCAAUGGCACUGCGAAGGGAAAGGUCGGCGUCAAUGGAGAAAGGGAAUUUGUCUAAAUUAUUAUGAUUUUUCUUCUUUUGUUUUUUUUUUUUUUUUUUAUGAUCGAUAGAUGUAAUGUAUUUUAAUUACGUGUACGUCAUUGUAUUUACAUAUAUAUAUAUAUAUAUCUGUACAUAUUAAAAUGAGAAAGCGACUAUUAUUAUUAUGUUUAAGCAUUGAGUAAUGAAGAUCGACAAACAUGCUGAGGUCUGUGCCUCCAAAUUCCAAUAAUGUUUGGUAGCAUUUGUCUACAUUAUUGGCUUGUUUACUUAAUCUUUAUUUCAUAUUCAGCGUCUAAUGAAUUACUUUUACCUCUAAAAUAUGUAAUUAUUAAAAUCUUUUUUAGUAUUAUGUAAUAUAAUAUUACUAGCUU